This 433-nucleotide ribosomal RNA is filed under the name uncultured bacterium. RNAcentral describes it as "partial 16S ribosomal RNA". It matches the Rfam family "Bacterial small subunit ribosomal RNA", at positions 29 to 507 of the family's 1533-position model. The record is from RNAcentral.
AACGAACGCUGGCGGCAUGCCUAACACAUGCAAGUCGAACGAUACCUUCGUGUCUAGUGGCGCACGGGUGCGUAACGCGUGGGAACCUGCCCUUAGGUUCGGAAUAACUCCCCGAAAGGGGUGCUAAUACCGGAUAAUGUCUUCGGACCAAAUAUUUAUCGCCUUUGGAGGGGCCCGCGUGGGAUUGGAUAGUUGGUAUGGUAAAAGCCUACCAAGGAGGCGAUCCAUAGCUGGUCUGAGAGGAUGAGCAGCCACACUGGGACUGAGACACGGCCCAGACUCCUACGGGAGGCAGCAGUGGGGAAUAUUGGACAAUGGGCGAAAGCCUGAUCCAGCAAUGCCGCGUGAGUGAUGAAGGCCUUAGAGUUGUAAAGCUCUUUUACCCGGGAUGAUAAUGACAGUACCGGGAGAAUAAGCACCGGCUAACUCCGUG